GGACUCUGAAUCCAGCGAUCCGAGU
RNAcentral lists this non-coding RNA (25 nucleotides) under Drosophila melanogaster (fruit fly). RNAcentral also lists the same sequence under 7 other names. Lineage: Eukaryota; Metazoa; Arthropoda; Insecta; Diptera; Drosophilidae. The record is from RNAcentral.